Molecule: ribosomal RNA, 251 nt
Filed under: uncultured bacterium
Lineage: Bacteria
Description: partial 16S ribosomal RNA
Rfam family: Bacterial small subunit ribosomal RNA
Source: RNAcentral
CGAAGGGGCUAGCGUUGCUCGGAAUGACUGGGCGUAAAGGGCGCGUAGGCGGACAUAUUAGUCAGGCGUGAAAUUCCUGGGCUUAACCUGGGGCUGCGUUUGAUACGGUGUGUCUUGAGUGGGGAAGAGGGUCGUGGAAUUCCCAGUGUAGAGGUGAAAUUCGUAGAUAUUGGGAAGAACACCGGUGGCGAAGGCGGCGACCUGGUCCUUGACUGACGCUGAGGCGCGAAAGCGUGGGAGCAAACAGGAUU